AUGCAACCAAUAAUACCAUAACCAUAUGAUAUAAACAAGUUGACAUGUUUGACGUUUUGACGAUUAAACCUUAAACGUCAGUCAGAUGGACCACAAAUCAGUAAUAUAAAAAGGAUAUUUAAAAACAAUUUGUAUUUUGAUAGAUCUGUUUGUUUUACCAUUUCGAAUUACAGUGUCUAAUACGUUUUGAUUUUUGUGAAACUAAUAUGAAAAUAUGUGGUCCCAAUACGAUGAAAACUUAUCAAACAAUCCCUUUUUUAAAGAAAUUCAGGAAAACCACCUUGAUAUUAUCGAAGAAUCAUCAAUACAGCGCUGGAUAAUUUGCGUGCCUCGAAUAGGAACCUUCGAACCAUCAGAAAUUAGUUCAGAUGUAAUUUUGGACCAUAUUAUAGUAUGUCCCACGAAAGAUCCCGAAAAGGAAUGUUACACACUAAGCAAAAAACCAAUAAGUAUAGUAGAUAAAAUCAUUAUUACCGAUGUUAGCAAUCCGACAAAUAAUGUAAACGUUUUGUUUGUAGAGACGUUUUAUAAUCGAGAUAGUUCGAAAUUUAUUGUAUGGUGUAUAGACCACCCACUGUUUUUAAAACGAAAUUUUUGCGAUUCUCACAUUCCUAAACAGUUAAAUACUCUACACGACUGUAUAGACUUCCUUUGGUGCAACAGUUUAAGUCAUAGCAUACUUGACUCGAUAAAAAACGUCGUUUGUAACUUUAAUUGUAAUAAUGAGCUAGAAAUCGAAAGUCUUCAAGCUCAAAAGGAGUUGAUAGGUAUUUUAUUUUCUCAGUGUUUACAGGUUUGUUUUAAAAACGAAGCAUUGCGGGAAAAAUGUCUGGAAACUAGUCAGUUUGUAGAAAAUCUCAAAUUAGCUGUAGAAACGUACAUGCAGUACUGUUUAGGUAAAAGUUUGAUCUUUAGCUUAAACACUUUGAACCACCAGAAAGAUAGUUAUUUGAAUAAGACUAUAAGAAACUGCUCAGAUGUGCAAUAUCAAGAUUUAGGUAUUGCUAACGAUUUUUCAGAUACAAUUCUGGCGGCCAAACGUGAAUUUAACCAGAUCAAUAGCUAUUAUACAGUUUUAGAAAAGACAAACUGUUUGAAAAAAACGUUAGAUAUUAUUUUUGAGGCUGGCAAUAGCAUUAGUGGGUUAUGUGUUACUUCCGAUGACGUUUUACAGUUAUUGGUAUUCUUGAUAUUGAAGUUGAACGUCAAUAAUUGGUUUGCGAAUUUAGUUUUUAUAAAAGAAUUUCAGUUAAGUAGUGAAAGUUCAGACCAAAGAUUAUUUUGUAUUUCAUCCUUUGAAGCAGCCUUAGAAUUUAUCAGUAGUAGUAGGUUUUGGGAUAUUAAAAAUAACGUAAAAAAUAUAGAGUAUGAUGAAAUUGCAGUUAAUUUUUUAGAAUCACAAAUUAAGUUAGGGGAUAUUAAUAGCGUAAGACUGAUUCCUGGAUCUGACAACUAUGUUAAAAGUAUGUGCCAUCCGUUGUGUGUUUGUAGUAAAUGUAGACUUGUUGUUCAACAACAGAACAAUUUUUUAAAUUCACUUGUGCCAUUCACUGAAAUUAGUGACAGUUUACUUGUUCUCGCUACUCGUUUAGAAAAGUGUGAGGUGGUAGAAUUUCUUUUAAAUAGAGGAGUUCACGUUUACUACACUGAUUCUUUUGGAAAGACAUGUUUCCAUUAUGCGGCAGCCAAAGGCCUACAAAAUAUUUUGUUGCUUUUGAUCAGAAAGACUAAUGAUAAUAGAGAGUUUAACGUUAACAUAGUAGAUCAGGAGAAAAACACUCCUUUACAUUUAGCUUGCUUGCACGGUCAUGAAAAUUGUGUGAAAGCUUUGAUUUAUUCUUCUCCUGAUAUUGAGGUUAAUAUUGGCAAUUCUUUUGGAGACACUCCACUGAUAUUGGCUGCACGAUGGGGCUAUUUAGAUAUCGUCAAGGUUUUGUUGGAAAAUGGAGCAUCAGUUUGUGUUAAGAACAAGAGGAAUCAAAAUGUGUUAGAUGUUGCUUGUAACUUCUAUAUAAUUAAAGUCUGUGAAAAAUACUCACAGCAAAAGUCUAAAGUAGCUAAAUCUCUUUUAGAUUUUAACAGUGUUUCUUCAUCAGUACUUGAAGACAGUUGCAAGAACCACGGAGUGCGCCCAAGGAGUACAGACCAAUUUAGAAAGGUCGAUCUGCUCAUUAAAUCUAUAGAAAACAACGAUUUUCCUUUGACAAGCUUUUAUUUGGGUUACAACAGCUCACAGGCAAUAAAAACAGAACAGACGAACUGUCAUCCUUUGUGCAUCUGUGACAAAUGCAAAAAUGAACCUUACGAUGAUUUAAAUCACAAAGAAACCACAAUAACAUCUAUCAAUGUAAAUAUGUGCAAUGCAAGUGGUCAAACUCCUCUACAUACGGCUGCAAAGUUCGGCAGAACUGAAAUAUUAAGGCUACUUUUGGAUAACGGAGCAUUACCAAAUGUAAAAACUUUCGAAACUCUCUAUACACCUUUGCACCUAGCUUGUAUUUAUGAACGAGUACAAACAAUUAGAGAACUAUUGAAAUGUGGUGAAUGCAAUGUUGACGAACAAGAUGCCAAAGGCAACACACCUUUGUACUAUUCCUGUCAAGCUGGUAAUGUCAAAAUCACUGAAAUACUGUUGACCAGUGGAGCUGAUUGUAACAAGAAGAAUUAUGACGAUAAAAGUGCCUUAUCGAUUAGUGAAGAAAAUAGGCAUCAUGGCGUUUUUAAAUUAUUAAAAAACAACCUUAGAAAUAGUUUGGAAAGGGACAGCACAGAAUACAGUAAUGUCAUAAUUUAGAUACUUAAUCAAUUAUUUUCUGUUUAUCUACUGUGCAUUAUUUUGCUAAUGAAAUAUUUUGUGUAACCUCUGACCCUUAUAGUUUAUAGUAAUAAAUGGGGUAGUGAUGUUAUGCCAUAUUACUGUCAAUUCAUAAUUCAUAUAUUUCUUGUCUAUCUUGUUAACUAAGCUUCCUAAUUUAGAGAUUAACAUAAAGUCAUCUACUUUUUAGGAUAAUAUAUAAAAAAAUUAAUUUGCUCUAUUGAGUUUUAUAUGAAUUUAUACUUAAACCUAUUUAUUUGCUUCAUUAUUUUAUUAUUCAAGCUUAGAUGCAUUUUGGGAUCAGUUAUAGACGAGUACUUAAGCCAUUCCCUGAGAUUGCGCAGUCAUGACAUUCGUCACCUUCCAACUCUACGCUUUUCUAAAAUGUUUCCCUAUAUGAUAUUCUGCAGAAGCUGGUAUUUUGUUCUCCUCAUCACGUUGCCAAGGUAUUCUAAUUUUCAUAUCUUCAUUCGUUCGUGACACUGUCCAAGUAAGAUAUUCUCAGGAUUCUUCUGUAAAGCCCUUAAACUUCCACUUUUUUCAUCAUCGAUUUAGUCUACGAUUUAGGAUUUUUGGACUAUUAUCGGCAAAUCUUCUUCCUUGCCAUUAACACAGUGUCAUUUGCAUACCUUAAUAUCUCAGUACCUUUUGCAUACUUAUUUAACAUAUAUGUCAACACUAUGUUACAUCAGUGAUACCUGUUCUUUUCCUCAGGUCUUGGUGCCUUAGUUUGUCUUUUUCUAUCAUGCCUAGAAUCGAUCUUUCCAUGCGCCUUUGUGCCACUCGCAUUUUUAGUGCUGUUUUUUUUUGUGAGCGUGAGAGUUUCUGCUCCGUAUGUCAGCAUAGAACGAACGUAUUGGUCAAAUGUCUUCCGUUUUAUAGCUAUCGGGAUCUGGCUCUGAAAGAUGUCUCUUAGUGUCGUUAAAAUUCACAUGUCUGGUUAUCCUUGCUUAUUCUUUAUUCUGAUUUGAUAACUUUUCUGCCAAUUCGACCCCUUGAUUUUGGAUGGUUAGGUGUUCCCUGGGAAUUUCAGUGUAUGGCUCAUUAAACUUAUUUUAGCUUUCGGUGAUAUCUUCUUAAGUAUGUUAAGCGAGUCGUGUAAUUCUUGAAGAUUUUCCAUUUCACAGCAUUCCACCAUUCAACCAAUUUUUCUUUGCUCUCUUAUUUUCUUUUGUAUUCCUCUGUGAAUCUUGACAUAUCUUCUUUUGCCUACAGUUUUAAUGAGCAUUCUUUUCUCCAUUAAAUGAACUAUUUCGUCGAUAAUUCAGUCUUUUUUCCUUUUCUGAUUCAAUGAUUCAAUAUUUAUUAAUUAAUGUUAAUAUGGUAAUGAUAUAAUGUUAAUGUAUAAUAAUAAUUAAUAUGUUAAUGUUAUAAUGUUAAAUGUUAUUCCCCUAUUAUAAUUUCUUGAGGACAUCUUCCAUUGACUGUUUGAAUAAUUUUAGAGAUGUGGUGUCUCCUGUUUAACUCCACAUUUUAAUUUGAUUUGCGUUAAAUUAGAAAAUUAAUUUUAAAAUUCUUAUUAAAAUAUACUCAGUGACAUUAGAAGUGUUACACCCAGAAGGAAUCGUUUCUGGAACUUAAUUUUUUGGCAACAUGGCACAUUUUCAUCAAUAAUGAAACGAUAACAUUGGCAAGACUUUUUAUUGACAUGUGAUAAAAAAAAUUAAUAAUGUGUUUGGCGACCCCUAGCUGAAUACACUCCUGUACACGUCUAGGUAUUGACAAAAUGAGAUUUUUUUUUCUUUUUUGGCUUGGACUAUGGUCAUUCAGCCAGUCUCAAUCAAAAGUAAAUGUAUUAAAGAUAUUGCCAAUUAGUGAAACUUGGUUAUUAUAAUAUUAUUACAAUUUUUUACUUCUUAUUUACCUACUCAUUACAGCUAAUGUACAUACUGUUAAAAAAUAUAAAUAUAGUAUACUAUUUAAUGUUUAUCAAGAACACAUAGUGUAUACAUUUUACAAAUAAAAAUAUGAAUAUUAAUAUUAAAAUAAAUUCAUUCUUUUUUGUAUUUUAGUUUUUUUUGUUAUGUUUUUUUUUGUCACUACGAUAGGAUCUCAACCCGGUUCAACCCCGCGGAGGUUUAAAUCCUCUUAGUGGUUUUUUCUUUAAUUUUUUUUUAUUAAUUUUUUUUUUAUUAAAAAUUUUUUUUUAUUUACUUUUUUUAUUUAUUUUUUUUAUUUAUUUUUUUUUGUUUCAUGUUUUUUAUUAUUUUUUUUAUUUAUUUUUAUUUUUUUAAUAUUUUUUUUAAACAUAUUUUACAAAUACCUAUAACUAAUUACAAUAAUAUUUUACUAUCCGACAAGAAAGAUACCAAACAGUCAAACAUUUUCUUUUUAUUCAGUGACAGAAUAAAGAGAAUAUUUACAGGGAGUGGGAUGUUCUGGUCUAUAAUUCUUUUAAUUAGGUGAUUGGUUAGGUGUUUAUGCUUUUUGCAUUCAAAAAAUAUGUGGUUUAAGUCACUUUUAACCUCACAUUCUUGACAAAUAUUCGAAUCUAAUAUGUUUAUUUUAAAUAAAUGUGCAGGAUAACAUGCAUGUCCAAAUAUAAUUCUACUGAUGGUGGAUAUGUAUUUGCGAGGGAGGGUGAAAUUCUUAUACCAAGGUUUUUCCGGAAUAAUCGGUUGUAUCAAACUGUAUUGUGUUGUUGAUAUGUUACAGUACCUUUCCCAGUGUGUUUUCCAGCUCUUCAUCUGUUCAGUUCUUAAAAAAGCAAAAGCAUCUAGAAUUCAGGGCUGAUAUUUGGUUACUGUUCCAUGGAUGAGGGAAUUUUUAGCUAAUUGGUCUACAUGCUCAUUAUGUGUAAGUCCUGAAUGUGCUUUGAUCCACAUAAGUUUUGUUUUUGGGGUGUGUUUAUUAAUUUCAAAUAAGAUUUUUUUUAUUAAAAAAAUGUAUGGAUUAGAAGUACUGCAAGGUAGUUGAGGUGUUUGAAUAGCAGUAAGUACAGAUAAUGAAUCAGAUAAAAUUACUGCGGAAUUAUAGGAUACCAAAUUGAAAUAAAUUAAAGCCUCAUAUACCGCCGCAGCCUCGGCAGUAAAAAUGGAGAAAUUUGAGGGCAGUUUAAACAACGAAACGACAAAAUGAGAAAGUUUAAACGACAAAAUGAGAUGAUCGAUAUCUGGUUGUGGCAUCUCGUUCCAAGCAACUUGAAUUUCAUGGAUUAACUGUGCCAGAGUCUGUGGAGGAUCGUGCAAAGUGGACAGUCUCCUCCCCAUCAUAUCCCACACAUAUUCGAUAGAAUUUAAACCCAGCGAACGGGGUAGCCACGGCAAAAAAUUAACGCCAGCUUCUUGGAAAUAGUCCAUAGUUUGACGAGCAAUAUAGGGACGUGCGUUGUCUUCCUGAAAAAGGGCGUUUUGACGGCCGUCUAGAUAAGGCAGUAAUCUGGUUUGUAAGAUGUCAUCAACAUAACGCGCAUCUGUCAUACUGCCUAGAAUAAACAAAAGUGGUGAUCGGCUACCAUAUGCAUUAACCCCCCAAACCAUUACUCCAACUGUCCUGUGCAGAUGCCUCUCAACAGCAAACCCGAUAUCUCGUCGACUUAUCAUCUUACGACCAUCAUGCAUCUUCUUCUUCAAGUGCCGUCUCCUAAUCGGAGGUUGGAUAUCAUCAUCACUAUCUUUACUCUAUCCACCGCUGCUCUAAAGAGUUCUAUAGAACUGCAUCUAAACCAGUCCCUUAAAUUCUUUAACCAUGACACUCUCCUUCUUCCUAUACUCCUUCCGCCUCUUAUCUUUCCCUGUAUUAUCAGUCUUAGCAUUUCAUAUCGCGGUCCCCUCAUUACGUGUCCCAGAUAUUGUAACUUUCUUAUUUUUAUUGUGUUUAUUAUUUCGCAUUCUUUACCCAUUUCUCGCAGUACUUCCGUGUUCGUUUUCCUCUGUGUCCAUGCUAUUCUAAGCAUUCUUCUGUAACACCACAUUUCAAAUGACUGUAGCUUAUUUAUGUGUUCUUGCUUUAAUGUCCAGCUUUCAAGUCCAUAUUGUAGUAUCGAGAACACGUAGCAUCUCAAAGCUCUUGCUCUCAGUUCUAAACUAAGGUCUUUGUUGCAGAGAACUGUUUUCAUCUUCACAAACGCAUUUCUUGCUAUUUCUAUCCUGGUCCUUAUUUCUGUUGUUUGAUCAUUUUUCUCUGAAAUCCAGGUUCCUAGGUAUUUGUAUUUAUCAACCCUUUCUAUCGGCACAUUUCCCAAAUGUAUGCUUGUUUGUAUGUUUGUUUUCUUAGUUAUUAUCAUGUAUUUGGUCUUUUUUAUAUUAAUUUUUAGUCCAUAUUCUUUACAGAAAUUGUUUGUUUUGUUCAGUAGUAGUUGGAGUUGUUCAGCAGAGCUUGCUAUAAUCACGGUGUCAUCUGCAUAUCUUAUGUUGUUAAUAGAUCUUCCGUUAAUUAUUAUUCCUUCACUUUGAGAUAGCAAUGCUUCUUCAAAAAUGGCUUCACUAUAUGCAUUAAAGAGUAAUGGAGACAUAAUACAUCCCUGCCGAACUCCUCUCCUGAUUUCAAUUUCUGGACUGGGUUCGUUAUCUAUUACAAUUUGUGCUCUUUGAUUCCAGUAAAGGUUUGUUAUUAUUCGUAAGUCCCUUUUGUCUAUGCUUUUUGUCUUUAGAAUUUGGACUAAUUUUUCAUGUCUUACUUUGUCAAAAGCCUUCUCAAAAUCAACGUAACAAACAUGCACAUCCACAUUCAUGUCCAUGCAUCUUUGAGCUAACACAUUAAAAGCAAAUAACGCCUCUCUGGUUCCUAGUCCGUUUCUGAACCCAAACUGACUAUCAUCUAUUCCUUCUUCUAGUUUUUUGUUUAUACGACCAUGUAUUAUUUUCAAGAAUAAUUUGAGAAUGUGACUUAUUAAUGAUAUUGUUCUGUAUUCACUGCAAUCUUUAGCGUUUGUAUUUUUAGGGAUAGCACAAAAGGUUGAGAGUAACCAUUGCUUUGGUAUGUUUCCUGUUUUGUACACUGUGUUAAACAAGUCUACGAUAAUGUCUAAGGUUUCAUCAUUUAUACAUUUUAAGCUUCAUACUGGGAUUUGGUCUGGACCUACUGCUUUACCAUUUUUGCUGUUUUUUAAUGCCGAUUUAAUUUCUUCUUUUAAUAUCUUCAAAACCGUAUCAUCUUCUACGUCGACUUCCAUCUGCUCUGUUCUAUUGUCUUUGAACAAUUCAUUUAUGUAUUCUGUCCAUCUCUUUAAUUUUUCGUUAGUACUCAACACAAGUUUCCCAUCUGUAUCUUUUAGUAUUCCCGGUUUUCUUUUUCUGUUGAUCUGCGUUAAUUCCUUAAUUUUUUUAUGUGUGUUAAAAUUAUCAUGUCUUUUCUGGUGUUCUUCUAUUUCUGCGCAUUGUUCUUUUAACCACUGUUCUUUAGCCUGUUUAAUUUUGGAUUUUAUUUGUUUAUCCACAUUUUUGUACAUCUGAUUAUCUUUGUUUUUAUGCUGACGUCUUUCUUCCAUUAAAUCUAAGAUUUCCUCCGUCAUCCAUUGUUUCUUUUUGUAUCUGAUUGGUGUAAGAAUUUCUUUUUGACAUUUAUCUAUUUCUGUCUUUAUUAAUAACCAUUUUGUCUCUGUUUCAGUAUUUUGUUGGAUUUGUUCUUUAACAUUCAUUAAACGGUUAUUAAUUUCAUCUGUCAGGCGUUGUUUUAUGAGUGGGUUUCUUAGUUUACUUGUAUCGAUUUUUACAUCUGUUGUUCUGCGUUUUAUUAUUUUCAUUUUGAGCCUAAUUUUGGUCACUACUGGAUUGUGAUCUGAUCCUAUGUCGGCACCUGGAUAGGUUUUUGAAGAUAUAAUUGCGUUCUUGUAUCUUUGUCUAAUCAUUGAUGGAUUCGACCGUUACUUGAUGGAAGUUCAUUUUAUCUAACAAUAAAAAACUGAAAACGUUUGUUUUCUAUACUUCCACAAAAUUUAUUAUAUCUAAGUGACUACAGCUGUUUCGGCGGAGUGCCUUUCUCAAGUAAUAUAGUUUACAAUGUGUUUGCCUUUUUAAUCUUCAACUGAAGAGGUUGAGGAGUGGGGAGCUGUUUGUCUCGAGUUGGUCAUUCAGAAUUAUAUCUGUAUUUUUCAGUUUAUUAAUUUCCAUAGAUUCUAAAAAAGAUAGCUUAAGGCCUUUAUUUUGAAUAUGUAGAAUUUUAAACUCUUCAUUGAAAGAAUGAUUAUGAUCUAGAAGGUGAAGUGCGUAUGUAGAAGUGUCUGUUUUUCUAUUGUUGAAUGCCCUUUUGUGUUCUGCUAUCCGUUUGUCAAAAGUUCUGCCAGUUUGACCGAUGUACGUUUUCGGACAGUCACCACAAGUUAGUUUGUACACACCACUCUGUAGUUGCUUUCUCUUUCGGCUUUUAUUGUUCUUAAUAUAUUUGCUUAAGUUGUUGUUAGUUCUGAAAGCUGGUGUUAUUCCUUUCUUUUUUAUGUAUCUGGCUAUUGUUGUUGUUAUCUUGCCAGUAUAUGUGAGAGAGCAGAAGGUACUGGGUUCUUUCUGUGGUGGUGGAUACACUAAUUUCAGGGCUUUCUUAUGGAGUUUUUGGUUUAAAAUUUUGUUAACUGUUUGUUCGUUAUAGCCGUUGUUUACUGCUAUUUGUCUAAUCAAUACAUAAUCUAUUUGGUUUCUUACAAUUCUCCCUUCUUGAUCUGCUGGUGACUUCCAGGUAUAUAGUCUUCUCUUUGGCAUUUUAAACAAUGUAUUAGUUAUGACAAAAUUAUUGUUUUGGCAAAAUUCGAUAAGCCUGUCACCUCUUUCGUUUCUGUUGCCCAGACCAUAUCCUCCUGUACAUUCUUCUACUUUUUCGUCUCCAACCUUUGCGUUAAAAUCUCCCAUUAUAUUGUAACAUCCUGCGUUUUAAUGGAUUUUAAAAUAUUAUCUAGUUCUUCGUAGAAAGUUUCAAUAUCGCUCUCUGGUUUUUCCGCAGUUGGAGCAUAAACUUGUAUUAUGUUUAAUUUGGGUUUAUUCUGAUUUAAUUGUAAGAGGAUAAUUCUGUUGGAGUAUGGAAUGAAAUUGACUACAGCUUUAUCCAUGUGUUUGUUUAGUAUUAUCCCGACACCAUAUCUGUGUGAACCGUCUUGACUUCCUGAAUAGUAUAUUGUUUUAUUGUUGAUUUUCAUCUUUCCUGAGUCGGGCCAUUGGACAUCGCUGAUUCCUAAAAUGUCUACAUUCAGCCUUUCCAUUUCAUUAACGGCAUUAUGUACUUUUCCAGCUUGAUGUAGACUUCUAACAUUCCACGUCGCUACUUUGCAAGGUUUUCGCAUGUUGACGACCGGGGAGGCCUUGCAGUCUUGUGAGUUUCCUCCUCUGCCGGAUCUUGUUUUCCGAGUUUCAUGAUCAGUAGAGUGUUUGGUUAUGUUGUUAGUCAUGAUGAUUAACUAGGGAUGCUCUAUGAGCCUUUAAUGCAUUGGUUUCCCGUUGCCUUAUGCAUCUCCACGCCGUUGACCAUGCCUGGUUCGUCCGCCUUUAGAAAUGAUUUCUCAUUUCUAGGACAAGAAGGUGCCCUUCCACUUACCGACUCUUCCACCCGAAGCUGUUGGUCAGUAAGUGGGGGAUUGCUUAUACCGGCAAUCACUCGGACGUCAGCGCCUCGUUUGUUAUCUAGCAGGAUGUACCGGAUGAUCAUGAUCGAGGUCAUCUCACGGGCAGGUGAGGUUGACAUUUGAAUAGGAGAGGCUAUGUAUUGCGCAUCACUAUCCCUUACAUCCCUUACAUACCUAAACCAAAUCGCGAUUCAUCGCUGAAUGCUGCAUUAUGCCAUUCUGUCACCCAAUGCUACCGUUAUCUGCACCAAUUCAAACGUUGAGGACAGUGGUCCGCAGUCUCACUCGUGAACAAAAGGAAGCACUCGUGGUGGGCGGAAUGCAAUCAGUCCAAAGGCUCAAAUGUUACGGUAUAGGGUACGGCUAGUAACAGGUCUACCUUCUACUCCAAACCAUUGGUCAGCUAUUUGACUCGUAGUAGCAAAACGGUCUCUCAGACUCUUCAGUCUAAGGCUACGGCUCCACGGGCGGGAAAUUGACGCUAGCAGUAGCAGUAAAAUGAACUUAAGGUUCCGUGGAACGGAAUGGGAAUAGCCGAACUGAACCGACUACGCACAAGUCCUGUAGUCGGUACAGUUCGGCUAUCCCUAUUCCGUUCCGCGGAACCUUAAGUUCAUUUUACUGCUACUGCUAGCGUCAAUUUCCAGCCCGUGGAGCCGUAGCCUAAAGCGCCUAUCUUGACGCCCUGUGGUACGCCUCGGUUGACCAGUUGGUCUUCUUCGUGUUCCUCUACCUUCGUUUGUCCACACACGACAUACUCGCAUAACUGUCAUUGCCGUACAAUUAACACGACGGCCAAUUUCGCGAUACGACAAACCCAUAUCUUUAAGGCAAUAAUUCUACCCCUGUCAAAAUCGCUAAAAUUGUGGUAAUUUUGGUGUCUUCGAACUCGAGGCAUAUUCUUGCACUGAAUACAAUUAGACUGAGGAAUCAUAUCUAAAAAUAUCUGUACUAACCGGUCUUUAUAAAUUGGUCUUUUCACAAAAAAAAAUUAAAAAUAAAAUUUUAUUUUUACAAAAACUAUAAAAGAUAAAACAUUGAUAUUGUUAUCAUAGCAUGCCAUAAAUAUAGUCAUUGUGCUGCCAAAAAAUUAAGUUCAAGGAAUGAUUUCUUCUGGGUGUAACAUUUCUAAUGUCACUGAGUAUAUUAAAGUUAAAAAUGUAAUCAAAAUAUUGAAAUACUUGGAAAUUUGUACUUAUUUUUGUUUUCCAUUUGUUUUUAAGAAUGUUUUCAAUAUUAAAUUGGAUCUAAAAGUCAUGAUAAAUGUUAACCUUUUAUGACUCAUGUAUUUCAUUUGGAUUUUAAUCGAUUUUUAGUCAAUUAAUUUUUUAAUGAGCUUUAAUGAACUGAUUAUUUAGUAUCGGUUAAUAUUCUUUAUAUAUUUGCUCAGACGAUAUCUUCAAUACAACAAAUUGUCUUCUUUUUAAAGCAUGAUUUUUUCACGCCGUAUGUUUGUUCUUAACAUUCUUAUUCGUAUAAGUGAGAGACUGAUAUCACGAUUAUUAAACCUUGCCUACCUAUCUGCACUUCUAGCUCUAUCUCAUAGUGUCUUACCAUCGAUUUUUUGAAGGGUUUCCAUUUCUGCUUUUUCUAUCAUUCUUUUUGUCGCCUUGCUGUAUCAGGUCGUAUUUCUGCAGCGUAUGUCAUUAUUGGUCUGCUGACUGUUUUGUAACUUCUGCCUUUCAUUCCUUUUCCCAUAUUUUUAUUUCUCCAUAUUGUUUCAUUCAAGUAACCUGCGGCUUUGUUUGCUCUAUUCACUUGACCUUCCAUUUCUGUUUCGAGCUUUGCGUAGCUAUAGAUAGUGUGAUGCCUAGAUAUUUAACCUCCAUCACUUGUUCUAUUAUCUGACCCUCCAGCUCUAAUUUACAUCUUAGUAGAUAGAUCCGUCGGCUCCCCCCCCUGCAGAAUUGGAAAUGGGGCCCCCUUUAAAAAAUUACUAAAUGCGACAUGUAUAACAAAAACUUACAGUCCGUCUAAUUUACUUACCGUUGCACGUCAUUAUCUACGCCAGAGAUCUAAGUUGACAUAGUUGCCAAAGUAUAAAAAAAAUCCUAAAUCCAUUUUAAAUCAAAUAGAUCACAUAAUAGGGAACUUGCACAUUUUUUUUAUUACAUAAUAAUGAUCAGUUUUGUAUAAAAAUGAGAUUUCCAAAAUUUCACGCUUCAAAAACUCAUAAUAACUUAGAAGUACAAAUUUAAAGUCUUCUUUAUCUUAAAAUAGUUCAAACGACCCGUGACGUCACAGAGUUUGUUUAUGUGGUUCAGUUUAUGGUUAUAUUUACGUAUAUUCUUCUUCUUCUUUAGUUUAUUGAUAGAAUAAAGGAAAAAUAUUUGAAUGCUAUGCUGGAACAACGUUGUAACCGCCAAUAGUUUCAAAUGUGGGUACUCCAUAGAAAAACGUACUGCAUGAGCAAAAUAAUGUACUGUCGACUGUGGUGAAUAUUAUGAGACUUUACUUUAUGCAUCCUUUAGUCUAUAAUAUUAUGCUAAUAAAAGAUUCCUUUUUUGAAUAUGAUCAAUUAUAACGCGUUUUCCUCAAGGUGUCGACAAAAUCUGAUUUGGCGUUUACGACGUUGUUCCAGCAUAGCAUUCAUUUAUAUUCUAAUGACUUUUAUCGUAUGUCACUGUAAUAAAAUAUACCAGUUUGUUGAGAUUGCAGUUUGAUACAGUUUUUGAAGUGAAGGAAAGAAGGUUUACUAUUGAAAAUAAAACCAUUUUGUAAAAGUACAAAUUUUCUAUGAAUAGUUCAAACGAUCAAAAAAUUUGUAACGUCACAUAACUGUAUUUUCUACUGACGUUUAUAAUGUCUAAUCCAAAAUUAUAUAUACAAAUUGGUGUAGAAUGUAAAAAUACAACCCAGUGACGUCACGUGUUUUGGGGUGGCUGGUAUAAGUUGAACUUUUAGUCGUCUUUAGGGGCCAAAGGAAAGACAAACAAAACUUUUUUAUUUUUGAUACAGGUUCUAAAUUAUAUUCUGUUGUGAUUUAUACCAUUUUUUUCGAAUUUAAAAUUUUAUGCAAGUUCCCUAUUAUUGUAAACGUGGAUUAUACAACAAAACAAAUUAAUAUUCAAUGUUAAUAAAUAAAAACUUUAGAAAUAGAGAACAAGAAUUAAGUUAUAAUCUUACGUUAAAGUAAAUAAUAAAAACAGUAAAUAUAAUAAAACACAUACUUAUAUAGUAUUUUUACUACAAAAACGUUAUUACGUAGGUCAAAAUUUUUGACGUAAGAGAACUGUCAAAACAUUAGAAUGUGACUUUUCUUUAUUGCCAUGUUUAUUAAUAAACAUGGCAAUAAUGAAAAGUCACAUUCUAAUGUUUUGACAGUUCUCUUACGUCAAAAAUUUUGACCUACGUAAUAACGUUUUUGUAGUAAAAAUACUAUAGUAAAGAAUAUAAACAAAUAUGAAGUGUCAUCACCUCAACUGUCAAAUAAAUGUUACCAAUUUAUUCUAAAAUGUCACCUUCCUUCGAUUAUAGUUACAGUGUGUUCCGAGCAAAUGUGCUUCAUAAAAACGGUUUAUAAUCCAUUUAUACAAAUUAAAUGAAACAUAUUAUUGUGUAUUUCUUUAGGUUAACAUUAAUAGAAAUCUUCAAAUAUUAUUUUUACGCGUAUAUAAUAAAAUAUGUCUAGUGGCUGUACAGUAUACUAGGCAAAAUGAUUCUAAAAAAGAACACACCUACCGCCUAAAUAUUUCGUGUUGGUAUCAUGUGAUCACAGGCUACGACGCGGAUGACGUGCACGGUAAGUAAAUUAGACGAAGUAUAUAUGUAUGUGUUAUAGCACAGUAAAUGAACGUGAAAUACGGCGAUACCGUGUAAUUUUCAAUUCCACCACCGAAGUGAUCCAGUCAAUACUUUUCGAAUUAUUUACGAAUGAAAAUGUUCAACAUUGUUCAACAAAAAACCACGUUUUCAGACGGUUUUUCGCUAAGAACUCAAAAAGUAAGUAUUCGUAAGUAAGUAGCAAAAAUGUAGCUUAUACAAAAAUGAAGUCUAUCGACCAAGUAAAUGCAAAUUUGUAGCUCAUGAAAAAUUGUUUUUAUUCUUCAAAUUCCAAAUCGAAUAUUUCAAUGUGAAAUAUCCAAAAAAUUAAGCAAUUUUCGUGGAAAACUCAUUAAAACUUUUUUAAAGUGUUUAAUAAAAGUUUUAGGUAUUUUUACUUUUUAUAAAAAUUUCUAUCAUCAAAACUAAGCGAGUUACGCUCAAAAUACAGUUAAAGUCUUUUUUGGUAAAAAAAUGUGAAAAUCUCCCCCUAUUUUGCACCCCAAAUGAAACUAAUCAUUACCGCUUUACAAAUUACUUAACUUUUUUUUAUACCUGUAAGUUUCACCUGUUUGAAAGGACUCUAACGAGUCACUAAUUAUCAGUACAUACAUGCAAAUUUUGAAAUAUCUUGACCAAUUUUUGUCUUACAGAAAAACAAAGUAAAUACAAAAUAUUUAUAAAAUCAAGACAUACCUUUCUUUACUCUUCGAGAUUUUUCGUAUCACUCAUACUCAAGGGCGGAUCCAAGACCGAUUUUCGGGGAGGGGGGCAUGGACUUUUUUUAUGAUACAUGCAUAGCUUAGGUUACCUCACACUUUACCUCGUUCAGCACAAAGCUAAAAACAUUUUUCUCGUAGCAAGCGGGAUAUGUGUUUGAAACUAAAAUCAUUUGAACUGCAAAUGUUUAAAUUUAUAUUAUUUUAAAUUCUCGAGGGAGCUCUCUGGAUAGGCCCUUACUAAUAUUUUUAAGUUAAUUUGAAAAAAGGCAUUUUUCUAAAAUAAAAAACUUAUUUAAACAUAAAACCAAUUUUUUUUAAAAGAAGAACUUCGAACUUAUGGGGAGAUCUUUACGUUUUUUAGCAAAAAAGGGGCCAACUUUUUUUUGAGCGUAACUCUCUUAGUUUUGAUGCUAGAAGUUUGCUUUAAAAUGCUAUAAAAAUAAAAAUAAAGCACUCUUUUAAAUAUUAAAAAAAGUUUCAAUGAGUUUUCCCAAAAAGUGCUUCGUUUGUUGGUUAUUUCACGUUGAAGUAUUCGAUUUGAAAUUGAACGAAUGAGAACAAUUUUUCAUGAGCUACAACUUUCCUUUUACUGUGUCGAUAGACUUCAUGAAUGUACCUACACCUUUUUUUUUUGUUUUUUUAUAAGCUACAUUUGCUAAAAAUAUUUUUUCGAUAAUUUUUCAAUAAUAUUUAAUUCGUGUUUUUUUUUGUUUAAAAGUCGCAAAACAUUUUCACUCGCAAGUCACUUAAAAAGUCUUGACUUAGAUAAAGAAGCUCUAUAGAGCAAAAGUUGCUUAUAAUUAGUCAAUUUAUACAUUUCCGGACUUACUUUAAACGUAUAUUUUUCACCCCCGAGAAGGGGUGACUUUCAUCCUCCAAGUAAAAGCAACCAACGGCACAACUCCAACUUUGAAGUGGAGGAUAAGUAGAAUCUAAAUCCAAAUUGCCAAGCAAAUACGCUGUGACGCUGAUAAUUAUACUCCAAAACGGUAAUUUACUGGGCUAUUAGUAUAUUCAUGCACUGUUUAUGACAACUUACAUUUUUCAUCUUUAUUGGUAUAGAAAAUAGAAAGAAAAUUAAUAAACGUCUACAUUAUUACAUAGUAUUAUUCUAUGAGAUGAAUAACUUUGUUCGUACAGUACUAUCAGCGAAUAUGUCUACAAUUUUAUUAAUACAUACAAUAUAUAUACAUACGAUACAUUGUAUCUAUCUGAUGGACAACUUCAUUUUCAAUACUCAUCAUUCUCUUUGCCUUAUCUCUAUGCGGGGUCGGCUUCCCUAAUUGCAUUUCUCCACACAAUUCUAUCUUGGGUCAUAUCAAUGUUAAUCCCCUUUACCAACAUGUCCUGCCUUAUCGUCUCCCCCCAGGUCUUCUUUGGUCUUCCUCUUCUACUCCUUCCAGGAAUCUGCACUUCAGCUAUUCUUCGUAUUGGGUGACUAACGUCUCGACGUUGAAUAUGACCAAACCAUCUUAACCUAUGCUCUCUCAUUUUGGCAUCAAUUGGUGCCACACCUAGACUUCCCCUAAUAUACUCAUUUCUAAUUUUAUCCUUCUUUGUCACUCCACUCAUCCAUCUAAGCAUUCUCAUUUCCGCCACAUGCAUUCGUUGUUCCUCUUUCUUUUUCACUGCCCAACAUUCAGUUCCGUACAUCAUAGCCGGUCUUAUGGCUGUUUUAUAGGAUUUUCCCUUCAGCUUCAUAGGAAUUUUUCUGUCACACAACACCCCACUCGCUUUUUUCCACUUCAUCCAUCCAGCCCUAAUUCUACUGCAUGCAUCUCCAUCUAUUUUUCCAUUACUCUGUAAUACCGAUCCUAGGUACUUAAAACUAUUGCUUUUCACAAUCAUUUCACCAUCCAAAGAUACCAUUUUAUUUGUAGGAACUCCAUCUUUAAAUGAACAUUCCAAAUACUCUGUUUUUGUUCUACUAAGUUUUAAACCUUUUUCCUCCAGAGCUUGUCUCCUUUUUCCACCAGAGCUUGAAAACUUCAUUUUCAAUACUGUAUUGCUUAAAAAACGUUGCGUAUGUAUGCGCAAAAUAAUAUAACAAUAACACAUUUUUAAGUACAUUUAUUAGACGACAAGAUGGGGCCCCUGACAUAUUGUGUCCCCUGCAAGUUUCAUGCUGCGGGGGCCUCUGUUACGCCCCUGGCUGUUGUAACCAUGUGUUGGUCUUUUUUGGAGAAAUUAACAUGUUAAAUUUUCUAGCGAUUGUAUUAAAUUGGUGCAGCUUACGUUGUAAAUCAUUUUUACUUUAAGAGAUUAGUAUUACGUCGUCUGCAUAGCAGAUUAUUUUAAGUUGUUUUUCUCCCAUUUGGUAUCCUUUUUAAUUGAAUCGUUUAUUUCAGAAACCACCUAAGUGCGCUUUUUUCAACUUUAGGAAAACUAAAAAAAAAACUGUUUUACAACUUAAGUAUUCGCGGUGUUCAAUAAGUACUUGGAAGGGAUACGUGAAACGAUCGUGCGCGAAUAGCGGAGAAAUAUUGCAACUUUCUUAAAUAAUUCAUAUUGUCAAUUGAAAUUGUCAAAUUGACGUACAUUUCAUAUCUAUUGUCAUUGAAGAAGAAAAAUUAUAUGUUGCUCCACAAUAUUGAUAUGAUAUGCAAUUAUUAUAAUAAAGGUAAAUUUAAUUAAUUGUCUUUUGCUUGCAGUACUGUAUGUUAAUAACUAAUUUUAUUUACUGCAUACAAUUGUUUACGUUUUAAUAACAUAACCUGAAUCUUAUUUUCUCUUCUUAUUAUUUUUUUGGGCUAUGGCCUUGACAAUUAUCCGGUUACCAGGACUAAUAUAAUCGGCCAAUAUAAUUAAAAGUGCGAAUAAAGUUGCAGAGCUCAGAAAUAGGUGUGGCCUUGCCGAACUUGCACGGUCUCAAUAGGUCUAGUAUCCUUCAAAUAUUUUUUUUACCAAAUCAAAAACAUGGUAUUGGGAUGAUCUAUUUUUUUAAAAUUGUUUUUGUCUUUAAAUUUUUGAGUUAUAAAUUUUUGAGAAAUUUUCACUUAGGUGGUUUCUGCAAUAAAUGAGUGUAUAAUCACUAUUGAAAUUAAGUCAAACCAUUAAUUUUUUGGAGUGUUCUAACUAGGCCUAAAUCGAAAAAUAUUAAGUAGUGGCGUAAGUUUUGCAUAUGUAGCCGCACUAGUAACUAAAGUGCAACCAUGUCCUUCUUAAAAAUUUUAAUAUAAUUCCAAAAUUAAAGGCAUUGAAUUAUUUUCGCAAAAAAUUGAAGCGAACCUACAAACUCAGUUUUUUGUGCUCUUUUCAAAUAUGCAAACGGUUUUUGAAAAUUUCAAUAUACAGGGUGAUAUUUCAAGGCCACAAUUAUUUUAUAUUUUUUGUUAAUCGGACCUGGAUUUUUCUUGUGAUUAGGGUCGUUUGGGUUCUUAAUGAGACGUACAUAUGUGUACCAAAUAUCAAAAAAAUAUACAAGGUGGUUCUAAAGUUAUGGAUCCAGUAAGAAAUGGGAAAAAUCGAUAAAACACCCUCCUGUAACUCGGUUAUAAAAAUCGGUGGGGCAAUAAAUGUAACAUAUCUAGAACCGCCUCAGUGACCUCUAUUCACUAUUCAAGAAUUUCCGUUUCCUAGUGAAACACCCCGUACAAUGUAAUAAUAAACAAUAAAAUAACGUCUAAUUUAGUGAAGGCUACGCCAACCGUCGUGAGUGAAAUUUACCGCAGAAAGAACCUAAGCGAUGGCGCUUGGGUUCUUUCUGAAAUAAACGGAUUAUUUUCAAGGCUGCCAAAUAGCAUUCUUGAUAUGGAACAUAGGUUUUAUCUGCACUAAAAGAUAUAUUUACCUUUAAAUUGUACAGUACCACCAAAACAUAUUUUUUGAUAUUUUGUCACUUUCUGUCAGGUGCUUUCUGAAAUAAACGAUUCAAUUCUUACUUUUUUAUUAUUUCAUCCAAGGUUGAACAAUAGAUAACUCAGGGAAUCCCCUAUCUUAUCCCAAUGCCAGUUUCAAUUGGGUGAGUUAUUUUUCUCUUCUACUUUUACUUUUAUUGUGUUGUUCUCGUGUAGCGUAUAAAUAAUGCUGGUAUUAUAUAAAAUCUCUCUAUAGGUACACAUUAGGUAGUUUUAAUUUAAAAUCAAAGCCAAUUGUUUGUAUAAAAUGAAUAAAAUAUAAACUAUAACGAUGCACACCAUGACAAAUAACAUGUUUUAGAAAUGUUUUGCCGUGAAGCAAUUAAUGUAAACUUACAACAAAAGGAAACAGUACUUAGCUACAUUUUAAACGGGGCUUACUUAAGCUAGUCAUAAAAAAAGCAAACGGGACAGUUCCAACAUUAGUUUUGUUUGCAUUCCUUAAAUUGAAUAUUGUUAAAAUUCAUUGUAGAUUUUUUGUUAUUUGUUAUAUGUUUGAUCUUGUAAUUAUUUAAUAAAGUUUUUGAAAUAUCA
This 19176-nucleotide unclassified non-coding RNA is filed under the name Diabrotica virgifera virgifera (western corn rootworm). RNAcentral's name for it is "ankyrin repeat domain-containing protein 27-like". The record is from RNAcentral. Lineage: Eukaryota; Metazoa; Arthropoda; Insecta; Coleoptera; Chrysomelidae.